UGACGGUACCUGCAGAAGAAGCACCGGCUAACUACGUGCCAGCAGCCGCGGUAAUACGUAGGGUGCAAGCGUUGUCCGGAAUUAUUGGGCGUAAAGAGCUUGUAGGCGGUUUGUCGCGUCUGCUGUGAAAUUUCGUGGCUCAACCCCGAACUUGCAGUGGGUACGGGCAGACUGGAGUGUGGUAGGGGAGACUGGAAUUCCUGGUGUAGCGGUGAAAUGCGCAGAUAUCAGGAGGAACACCGAUGGCGAAGGCAGGUCUCUGGGCCACUACUGACGCUGAGAAGCGAAAGCAUGGGGAGCGAACAGGAUUAGAUACCCUGGUAGUCCAUGCCGUAAACGGUGGGAACUAGGUGUGGGUCUCAUUCCACGAGAUCCGUGCCGCAGCUAACGCAUUAAGUUCCCCGCCUGGGGAGUACGGCCGCAAGGCUAAAACUCAAAGGAAUUGACGGA
This 450-nucleotide ribosomal RNA is filed under the name uncultured bacterium. RNAcentral's name for it is "bacterial SSU rRNA". It matches the Rfam family "Bacterial small subunit ribosomal RNA", at positions 470 to 917 of the family's 1533-position model. The record is from RNAcentral.